UUACGGCCAUAUCACGUUGAAACCGGUUCUCGUCAGAAGUUAAGCAACGUUGAUCCUGGUCAGUACCUAGAUGGGGGACCGCUUGGGAAUAUCAGGUACUGUAA
Non-coding RNA from Acanthosepion pharaonis, 104 nucleotides. Lineage: Eukaryota; Metazoa; Mollusca; Cephalopoda; Sepiida; Sepiidae. The record is from the annotation of a GenBank genome assembly.